GACGAACGCUGGCGGCGUGCUUAACACAUGCAAGUCGAACGGAAAGGCCCUGCUUUUGUGGGGUGCUCGUGUGGCGAACGGGUGAGUAACACGUGAGUAACCUGCCCUUGACUUUGGGAUAACUUCAGGAAACUGGGGCUAAUACCGGAUAGGAGCUCCUGCUGCAUGGUGGGGGUUGGAAAGUUUCGGCGGUUGGGGAUGGACUCGCGGCUUAUCAGCUUGUUGGUGGGGUAGUGGCUUACCAAGGCUAUGACGGGUAGCCGGCCUGAGAGGGUGACCGGCCACAUUGGGACUGCGAUACGGCCCAGACUCCUACGGGAGGCAGCAGUGGGGAAUAUUGCACAAUGGGCGGAAGCCUGAUGCAGCAACGCCGCGUGCGGGAUGACGGCCUUCGGGUUGUAAACCGCUUUCGCCUGUGACGAAGCGUGAGUGACGGUAAUGGGUAAAGAAGCACCGGCUAACUACGUG
Molecule: ribosomal RNA, 468 nt
Filed under: uncultured bacterium
Lineage: Bacteria
Description: partial 16S ribosomal RNA
Rfam family: Bacterial small subunit ribosomal RNA
Source: RNAcentral